UACAGAGGGUGCGAGCGUUAAUCGGAAUUACUGGGCGUAAAGCGCGCGUAGGCGGCUUUGCAAGUCGGGUGUGAAAUCCCCAGGCUUAACCUGGGAACUGCAUUCGAGACUGCAUUGCUAGAGUAUGGGAGAGGGAAGUGGAAUUUCCGGUGUAGCGGUGAAAUGCGUAGAUAUUGGGAGGAACACCAGUGGCGAAGGCGGCUCACUGGACCGGAACUGACGCUGAGGAGCGAAAGCGUGGGGAGCGAACAGG
RNAcentral lists this ribosomal RNA (253 nucleotides) under uncultured bacterium. RNAcentral's name for it is "partial 16S ribosomal RNA". It matches the Rfam family "Bacterial small subunit ribosomal RNA", at positions 524 to 776 of the family's 1533-position model. The record is from RNAcentral.